Molecule: non-coding RNA, 115 nt
Organism: Podarcis lilfordi (Lilford's wall lizard)
Lineage: Eukaryota; Metazoa; Chordata; Lepidosauria; Squamata; Lacertidae
Source: the annotation of a GenBank genome assembly
ACAGCAGUACUACCCUGAACAUGCCUGAUCUUGGCUGCUCUCGGAAGCUAAGCAGGGUCAGGCCUGGUUAGAACCUGGAUGGGAGACCUCAUGGGUUCCGCAGGCUUUUCCUCUU